AAAGAGAUUUAGCUAGAUAAGGGAAGGGGCGGAUGUAGCCAAGUGGAUCAAGGCAGUGGAUUGUGAAUCCACCAUGCGCGAA
Molecule: transfer RNA, 82 nt
Filed under: Melastoma candidum
Lineage: Eukaryota; Viridiplantae; Streptophyta; Magnoliopsida; Myrtales; Melastomataceae
Description: partial tRNA-His
Source: RNAcentral